Molecule: ribosomal RNA, 484 nt
Filed under: uncultured bacterium
Lineage: Bacteria
Description: partial 16S ribosomal RNA
Rfam family: Bacterial small subunit ribosomal RNA
Source: RNAcentral
AUUGAACGCUGGCGGCAGGCCUAACACAUGCAAGUCGAGCGGAUGAAGGGAGCUUGCUCCUGGAUUCAGCGGCGGACGGGUGAGUAAUGUCUAGGAAUCUGCCUGGUAGUGGGGGAUAACGUCCGGAAACGGGCGCUAAUACCGCAUACGUCCUGAGGGAGAAAGUGGGGGAUCUUCGGACCUCACGCUAUCAGAUGAGCCUAGGUCGGAUUAGCUAGUUGGUGGGGUAAAGGCCUACCAAGGCGACGAUCCGUAACUGGUCUGAGAGGAUGAUCAGUCACACUGGACCUGAGACACGGUCCAGACUCCUACGGGAGGCAGCAGUGGGGAAUAUUGGACAAUGGGCGAAAGCCUGAUCCAGCCAUGCCGCGUGUGUGAAGAAGGUCUUCGGAUUGUAAAGCACUUUAAGUUGGGAGGAAGGGCAGUAAGUUAAUACCUUGCUGUUUUGACGUUACCAACAGAAUAAGCACCGGCUAACUUCGUG